RNAcentral lists this ribosomal RNA (446 nucleotides) under uncultured organism. RNAcentral describes it as "partial 16S ribosomal RNA". It matches the Rfam family "Bacterial small subunit ribosomal RNA", at positions 335 to 797 of the family's 1533-position model. The record is from RNAcentral.
CCUCCUGCGGGAGGCAGCAGUGGGGAAUAUUGGACAAUGGGCGCAAGCCUGAUCCAGCCAUGCCGCGUGAGUGAUGAAGGCCCUAGGGUUGUAAAGCUCUUUCACCGGUGAAGAUAAUGACGGUAACCGGAGAAGAAGCCCCGGCUAACUUCGUGCCAGCAGCCGCGGUAAUACGAAGGGGGCUAGCGUUGUUCGGAUUUACUGGGCGUAAAGCGCACGUAGGCGGACUAUUAAGUCAGGGGUGAAAUCCCGGGGCUCAACCCCGGAACUGCCUUUGAUACUGGUAGUCUUGAGUUCGAGAGAGGUGAGUGGAAUUCCGAGUGUAGAGGUGAAAUUCGUAGAUAUUCGGAGGAACACCAGUGGCGAAGGCGGCUCACUGGCUCGAUACUGACGCUGAGGUGCGAAAGCGUGGGGAGCAAACAGGAUUAGAAACCCCUGUAGUCCCA